GAUGAACGCUGGCGGCGUGCCUAAUACAUGCAAGUCGAGCGAACGGACGAGAAGCUUGCUUCUCUGAUGUUAGCGGCGGACGGGUGAGUAACACGUGGAUAACCUACCUAUAAGACUGGGAUAACUUCGGGAAACCGGAGCUAAUACCGGAUAAUAUUUUGAACCGCAUGGUUCAAAAGUGAAAGACGGUCUUGCUGUCACUUAUAGAUGGAUCCGCGCUGCAUUAGCUAGUUGGUAAGGUAACGGCUUACCAAGGCAACGAUGCAUAGCCGACCUGAGAGAGGGAUAGGCCACACUGGAACUGAGACACGGUCCAGACUCCUACGGGAGGCAGCAGUAGGGAAUCUUCCGCAGUGGGCGAAAGCCUUACGGAGCAACGCCGCGUGAGUGAUGAAGGUCUUCGGAUCGUAAAACUCUGUUAUUAGGGAAGAACAUAUGUGUAAGUAACUGUGCACAUCUUGACGGUACCUAAUCAGAAAGCCACGGCUAACUACGUG
RNAcentral lists this ribosomal RNA (497 nucleotides) under uncultured bacterium. RNAcentral describes it as "partial 16S ribosomal RNA". It matches the Rfam family "Bacterial small subunit ribosomal RNA", at positions 28 to 507 of the family's 1533-position model. The record is from RNAcentral.